UGUGGGUUUUUUUGUAAGUAACCUCAGACUGUGGAGCAAAAGAGAUAAUGGGAAGCUCCGGGUCAAAAACAGGCAGCCCAGAAUCAGAAAAAACCGCAUUAAAGAAAAUGUGUAAGAUCUACAAAGAUCGUAUGCCAUCUAGGUUGAAUUUAAAAAGAUUAGAAAUUCUACGGGCCGCCACCCAAUACUGGGAUGACAUCCAAGAAAGAAAACUAGGAAAAGAAAAAUUAGAAACCAAGUUGCUAACCUUGCAAAUAGAACAGCUCCAGACUCAAAUCCUACCUUAAGAAGUUUGGCUAAACAGUGCAUAGACGCAGUAUUGCAACUAAGAAGACCUAAAAAUAAAAACAGCUAUGAUACCAAAUUUCUCAUUAUUAGCAAGCUACAUGAUACAAAUUGAUACAAGCCACAAGAUUCAGUCCCUGAACCGCUAAAAUGGUCAGAGAUGAGAAGACUUAAUAACCUCAUUAACCAAAAUUCAUGCACUGGGCUUGCGAAUAGCAUAUUACUCUGCACAAUUAGACGCAGCUGCACAAGGAUUUCCACCUUGCUCCAAGCAGUGGCUGCUACCGCCUUGCUUGUAAAGAAAAAGCAGCUGAUUUGAAAUUAAAAAAAAAAAAAAAUGUGGGUUAGAGUUCCACCGUCGCAGCCCUGUUGAUAACCAAAUCUACACAAUUUCUAUCAAAUCAGAGAUUGACUCGAUACGAGCAGAUACUACCAGCAAUUACCCUUAAACAGUGCACUACCUUAAAUGAUUGCGAAGUGGUAAUUCAAGAAUUUGACUGAUGUUACAUUGCCAGCUCCAGAUAUAGUUCUGUUUACUGAUAGCUCUUGUAAAGGAAACAGCUGGGGAGAGCUAGUAGCCAGAUAUGCAGUAAUUUCUCAAGUACUGAUAAAAUAAAAAUAAAAAGGAAGUGUAUACCACAUUAGAAAGUUUCGCUCUGCCACGAAGUGCACAAGCCGCAGAAUUAAUUGCUUUAACCAGAACCUAGCAAAAAGUUUGUCAAUAAAUAUUCAUACAAUA
Elgaria multicarinata webbii is the source of this 1024-nucleotide long non-coding RNA. RefSeq lists it as uncharacterized. The transcript is spliced from 2 exons. NCBI's taxonomy places the organism in Eukaryota, Metazoa, Chordata, Lepidosauria, Squamata, Anguidae. The record is from RefSeq and is a predicted model, not a curated record.